CGAAGGGGCUAGCGUUGUUCGGAAUUACUGGGCGUAAAGCGCACGUAGGCGGAUUGAUCAGUCAGGGGUGAAAUCCCAGAGCUCAACUCUGGAACUGCCUUUGAUACUGUCAAUCUAGAGUCCAGAAGAGGUGAGUGGAAUUCCGAGUGUAGAGGUGAAAUUCGUAGAUAUUCGGAGGAACACCAGUGGCGAAGGCGGCUCACUGGUCUGGUACUGACGCUGAGGUGCGAAAGCGUGGGAGCAAACAGGAUU
This 252-nucleotide ribosomal RNA is filed under the name uncultured bacterium. Its description in RNAcentral is "partial 16S ribosomal RNA". It matches the Rfam family "Bacterial small subunit ribosomal RNA", at positions 527 to 779 of the family's 1533-position model. The record is from RNAcentral.